UACCCGUAGCAUCUGUAUGUCU
Molecule: microRNA, 22 nt
Filed under: Haemonchus contortus (barber pole worm)
Lineage: Eukaryota; Metazoa; Nematoda; Chromadorea; Rhabditida; Trichostrongylidae
Also listed under: 1 other name
Description: hco-miR-5895
Source: miRBase by way of RNAcentral